UCCAAGGCGCCCUCGGGCCUCGCGGGCUCAGGGCCCACGCAGUUCUCUCUGGUGGCGCCGGGGGGCGAUGUGGAGCGUCCCACAGCGCACCUACGCCCCGGAGGCUCAUGGGCGUUGUAGUUCCCAGGGCGGCGAGCUGUGCUGGCACUUAGCGUGGGAGGGUGAGGCCAGGUCUGGAGGCAAGGUCCCGUCCUCCUUGAGGCAGAAGCGGCUGUCCCAGCGUGGAUGACUCCGGAACGUCCUGGCCCCGAACCCCCUGGAGUGCGACCCACUGCGCGGGUCUGGCGACAGAUCUGGCGGCCGUGUGUCGCAGCUGGAGGGCUUUCAGGAGAGGAUCCCUCACUUUUAAGAAGGAGGCACUGACGAGAUGGACAUCCUUCAGAUUCUGGAAGUUGUUGGGUCUGGAUGGGAAGCCUGGAACUACUGUGCCCAUCAUGCUCCCGGUCCAUGAUGAAGCCAAAAUCCAGAAGAGGGCAAAGCGAAGAGGAUCUUAGAAGUGUGGACUCCUCAUGGUGAACAGUGCCUAAUGCUUAGGUGAAGAAGUAUUUGCUGAAGGAAGAAUUUGUUGAAUCAUUUCAGUUGAGCAUUCAGUUCAGCAUUGUGUUGGGCUUAAGUUUCUCGAUGUUUUCAAUGGAAGGCAAAUUUUGUAUUCACGUUCAUUUAAAAAAUAAAGGUGAGUCACUGUAA
Balaenoptera musculus (blue whale) is the source of this 687-nucleotide long non-coding RNA. RefSeq lists it as uncharacterized. Lineage: Eukaryota; Metazoa; Chordata; Mammalia; Artiodactyla; Balaenopteridae. The record is from RefSeq and is a predicted model, not a curated record. The transcript has 3 exons.